Molecule: non-coding RNA, 2512 nt
Organism: Vicugna pacos (alpaca)
Lineage: Eukaryota; Metazoa; Chordata; Mammalia; Artiodactyla; Camelidae
Source: RefSeq, a predicted model, not a curated record
GGGUGAUUUCCUGUCCACCGUCGCUCGCGGGCCGGUGUGGUGACCUCUAAGGGGCCCCUCACCCACCCCCAGGUACAGUCACUGCGGCCCGAGGAGCUCAAGUGAUUUUCCCAAAGCCACUGAUCACUCUAUUCAGUCACCAUGCUGGGGACCGUCCUAAUAAUACUAAUGCCGAUAACGCCCCAGCCACUGGGCACCUGGACCAGGUGAUUUACACGUUUAAUCCAGACGACAGUGUGAGGUCCUCACUUACCCACAGCCCUGGAGUCACUAUUCCAGCUCCUUCUCUCCCCGUCUCUCUUCUGUCUCCUCCCCACCACCACCAGAGAAUUCCUCAGUGCAGGUGUCCCCGAAACAGAGCACCGAAGACCACCCAGGGAACAGCAGUGCCUCCUCCGAAGCCCCAGGCAGCUGCUACACAAGGCCCGAGAGGCAGUUGGCCAUCACGUAUGACCAGUCCGAGGAGGAGCUGAUGGCCAGCAUCGAGCAGGAGUUCUGCAGCUGAGCCGGGCAGGGCAGCAGCCGCGAGUUACCCCGCAGCCAACGCGCCGCUCCUCCCAGACCCCGCCCCACCUGAUGUGGGGCUCUUAGGAACCUGGGCUGGGGGCGCACAUCCCCCUGCCCCGCCCGCGGCUCACUGGAGCUGAGCCAUCUCCAACAUGCAGUUCCUCCCGGAUCUUUCACUACUGGCCUUUUCAAAUCCAGAUUCAGACGGUCCUGCAUGUGACUGGCUACUGGCCAUCACACUUGCUGGCAAGAGGUGGUCAGCUGUGCAGACCCAGGCCAGAAGGAAGGUGCAGGUGCCGCCCCACAGGUACGUGGGCAGCUGAUCUACCAGAUCCCUGCCCCCCGCCCUGGUCUCUGCAGAGGGCCUGUCUACAAGGUUCUCCUGGAUCUUGAAAUGCUUCCCCUUUCUGACGACCCACUCACCACUGGAUCCGAAGAAGGCUCAUUAGCUGAGUGUGGCUCAGACAGGAUGCCCUAGGGCCUCUCACCCACGUCCUGCAGCAUCUCAGGAAGCUUCCCCUCUGGAGGGCACACCCAGGAGGUCUGCUCUCCCCAGCUGUAGGGGGUCAACCCCGGUUCUGCAAAUGAAUUACCAGGAGAUGUUGUUGAAGUGCAGAUUCUGAUUCUGUGGGUCUGGGGCGGGGGCCAGAGAGCCUGCAUUUCUAAGCAGCUCCCAGGUGAGACCCCGGCUGCUGGAUCCCAGUCUGAGCUUUAAGCCUGGCUGACUCUUCCUUCCCCGACGCUGGAGGCUGCUCAGAGCCACAGCCCACCUACCUCCCCUGAGAGAGGCCCUGCCCCUGCAGUGGGUAUGGUGGCAUGGGAGCCGGAGACCCCAGUUCUGAUCCUCCCUGUCGCACUAACUCGCAGGCACUCUCCUCUCUGGGCCUCAGUUUCCUUCUCUAGAAGGUGAGUCCUGCAGGCUCUUCAGGCGCUCCCAUCUCUGGUCAUCCAGGAUGACACAAUCCCAGGCUUCCCUGGUCUCUGCUGUUCGCCCCACCCCCACCCCGGGGCACAGGACUGCCUUCCCUGCUGAGGGUGAGCAGCAGCCCCACUGGGAAAGGGUCUUCAGGGCCACCUGCUCUUCCCACCGGGAGAAGGUAGCAAAUCACAGCGUGAGGCAGGAGAGCCUUAAGACAUUCUGAGCUGACAAAUGAGAAAGCCGGCUAGCCAUCCAGUCACGUGAGUCAUGCAGGGCCCGAAGGAGAACCGCAGCCUGACUGGAAGGCAGGCUUGUGCCCUGGGCCCAGAGUGGCUGCUCUGGGAAAGCUCAGGGGGGCGAGCAGUCAGAGCAUUUGGGAGGCCAGGUCCGCGGAGCAGCUGGUGAGGACGUCGGUACAUGGGGGCAUGGAGGGGACAGUCGCUUCCCCCCAGCCAGAAUAGGUCUCAGCUCGUCUUGUGUUUGCCACCAACAUAUUGGCCUCCCCGGCAUCACCUGCAAAUCCAAGAGCAUCUCAGAGACCGAGAACCAGCCACUUGGUACUGCUCCCAGACCCACAGGGCUGUGGCCGAAAUGGCCACAUCAUGGCUGUUUUCACGAACCUCUAUGACUUGACAAGACUGCCUUUGAUCAGAACCACUGCUGGGAGGUUUUAACUUCAGAGUCAGAGCACCUUCCAUAUCUGAGGGUUCGCUCAGAACCUCCCCAAAGAGAGCUAUUUCUCAUCUAAGCCCAAACCAUUUCUUUUGAUAUAAAGAUUAAAGCCAUUACUAUUUUAAUAAUACAAUACUUCUUUUAAAAGAAGUUAAAAUUUUCUUACCAUUAAGUCAGGCCUUGAAUUUAAUGAUGUAAAAUGUUUAUAAUUUUACAUCAUUAAUUUACAGUUACAAUUUUCCAUCACCAAUUUGGUAAAAUGGAACAUGUUCAGUGAGAAAGACGAUACCUUGCACUUUCCAGUGGCAACCUCAUAAAACCCGUAAUGAGAUAAAAGUGUUAAGAAAUUCUUUAUGUCCUUACAGUCUAUGUCAUGUCAAGGUGAAUGCACUUCAUCAAAGCUAAGAAGUCACA